UACGUAGGGGGCUAGCGUUGUCCGGAUUUAUUGGGCGUAAAGAGCGUGUAGGCGGCCUGGUAGGUCUGCUGUGAAAACUCGAGGCUCAACCUCGAGAUGUCGGCGGAAACCAUCUGGCUAGAGUCCGGAAGAGGAGAGUGGAAUUCCUGGUGUAGCGGUGAAAUGCGCAGAUAUCAGGAAGAACACCUAUGGCGAAGGCAGCUCUCUGGGACGGUACUGACGCUGAGACGCGAAAGCGUGGGGAGCGAACCGG
This 253-nucleotide ribosomal RNA is filed under the name uncultured bacterium. RNAcentral describes it as "partial 16S ribosomal RNA". It matches the Rfam family "Bacterial small subunit ribosomal RNA", at positions 524 to 776 of the family's 1533-position model. The record is from RNAcentral.